Long non-coding RNA from Ictalurus punctatus (channel catfish), 328 nucleotides. The record is from Ensembl. Lineage: Eukaryota; Metazoa; Chordata; Actinopteri; Siluriformes; Ictaluridae.
GGUGUAGGAACAGGGUGUAGGGAAUAGGGUGUAGGGAACAGGGUGUAGGGAAUAGGGUGUAUGGAACAGGGUGUAGGGAAUAGGGUGUAGGGAACAGGGUGUAGGGAAUAGGGUGUAGGGAACAGGGUGUAGGGAAUAGGGUGUAGGGAACAGGGCAUAGGGAAUAGGGUGUAGGGACAGGGGUGUAGGGAACAGGGUGUAGGGAAUAGGGUGUAGGGAACAGGGUGAAGGGAAUAGGGAGAAGCUUACAGUGUAGUGAGAAUGGCUGAGCUGCAGUGACGUUUUAAAACUACUCCGAGACUAUUUAUAGCCAGACAAUGCACACACA